Molecule: ribosomal RNA, 375 nt
Filed under: uncultured Alphaproteobacteria bacterium
Lineage: Bacteria; Pseudomonadati; Pseudomonadota; Alphaproteobacteria
Description: bacterial SSU rRNA
Rfam family: Bacterial small subunit ribosomal RNA
Source: RNAcentral
UAAUACGGAGGGGGCUAGCGUUACUCGGAAUUACUGGGCGUAAAGCGAGCGUAGGCGGUUUAAUAAGUUGAGGGUGAAAGCCCGGGGCUCAACCCCGGAAAUGCCCUCAAAACUAUUAGACUAGAGGACGGGAGAGGGGAGUGGAACUCCCAGUGUAGAGGUGAAAUUCGUAGAUAUUGGGAAGAACACCAGUGGCGAAGGCGACUCUCUGGACCGUUUCUGACGCUAAGGCUCGAAAGCGUGGGUAGCAAACAGGAUUAGAUACCCUGGUAGUCCACGCCGUAAACGAUGAUUGCUAGACGUUGGGGGGAACGCCUCUCAGUGUCGUCGCUAACGCAUUAAGCAAUCCGCCUGGGGAGUACGGUCGCAAGAUUA